RNAcentral lists this ribosomal RNA (524 nucleotides) under uncultured bacterium. RNAcentral describes it as "partial 16S ribosomal RNA". It matches the Rfam family "Bacterial small subunit ribosomal RNA", at positions 28 to 523 of the family's 1533-position model. The record is from RNAcentral.
GAUAAACGCUGGCGGCGUGUCUAAUACAUGCAAGUCGAACGAAGCUGUUUUAACUGGUGCUUGCACCGACUUAAACAACUGAGUGGCGAACGGGUGAGUAACACGUGGGUAACCUGCCCCAAAGCGGGGGAUAACAUUUGGAAACAGAUGCUAAUACCGCAUAACCACAGAAACCACAUGGUUUCUGUGUCAAAGAUGGUUUCGGCUAUCACUUUGGGAUGGACCCGCGGCGUAUUAGCUAGUUGGUAAGGUAAUGGCUUACCAAGGCAAUGAUACGUAGCCGAACUGAGAGGUUGAUCGGCCACAUUGGGACUGAGACACGGCCCAAACUCCCACGGGAGUCAGCAGUAGGGAAUCUUCCACAAUGGACGAAAGUCUGAUGGAGCAACGCCGCGUGAGUGAAGAAGGUUUUCGGAUCGUAAAACUCUGUUGUCAGAGAAGAACGUGUGCGAGAGUAACUGCUCGUGCAGUGACGGUAUCUGGCCAGAAAGCCACGGCUAACUACGUGCCAGCCGCCGCAGUAA